This 253-nucleotide ribosomal RNA is filed under the name uncultured bacterium. RNAcentral describes it as "partial 16S ribosomal RNA". It matches the Rfam family "Bacterial small subunit ribosomal RNA", at positions 524 to 776 of the family's 1533-position model. The record is from RNAcentral.
UACGGAGGGGGCUAGCGUUGUUCGGAAUUACUGGGCGUAAAGCGCGCGCAGGCGGCUAUCCAAGUCAGUGGUGAAAGCCCGGAGCUCAACUCCGGAACUGCCAUUGAAACUGUUUAGCUUGAGUAUGAGAGAGGUGAGUGGAAUUCCCAGUGUAGAGGUGAAAUUCGUAGAUAUUGGGAAGAACACCGGUGGCGAAGGCGGCUCACUGGCUCAUUACUGACGCUCAGGCGCGACAGCGUGGGGAUCAAACAGG